GACGAACGCUGGCGGCGUGCUUAACACAUGCAAGUCGAACGGAAAGGCCCUGCUUUUGUGGGGUGCUCGAGUGGCGAACGGGUGAGUAACACGUGAGUAACCUGCCCUUGACUUAGGGAUAACUUCAGGAAACUGGGGCUAAUACCGGAUAGGAGCUCCUGCUGCACGGUGGGGGUUGGAAAGUUUCGGCGGUUGGGGAUGGACUCGCGGCUUAUCAGCUUGUUGGUGGGGUAGUGGCUUACCAAGGCUUUGACGGGUAGCCGGCCUGAGAGGGUGACCGGCCACAUUGGGACUGAGAUACGGCCCAGACUCCUACGGGAGGCAGCAGUGGGGAAUAUUGCACAAUGGGCGGAAGCCUGAUGCAGCAACGCCGCGUGCGGGAUGACGGCGUUCGGGUUGUAAACCGCUUGCGCCUGUGACGAAGCGUGAGUGACGGUAAUGGGUAAAGAAGCACCGGCUAACUACGUG
This 468-nucleotide ribosomal RNA is filed under the name uncultured bacterium. RNAcentral's name for it is "partial 16S ribosomal RNA". It matches the Rfam family "Bacterial small subunit ribosomal RNA", at positions 28 to 507 of the family's 1533-position model. The record is from RNAcentral.